This 184-nucleotide ribosomal RNA is filed under the name Pholiotina gracilenta. RNAcentral describes it as "5.8S ribosomal RNA". The stretch from base 19 to 172 matches the Rfam family "5.8S ribosomal RNA". From Rfam's summary of the family: 5.8S ribosomal RNA (5.8S rRNA) is a component of the large subunit of the eukaryotic ribosome. It is transcribed by RNA polymerase I as part of the 45S precursor that also contains 18S and 28S rRNA. The record is from RNAcentral. Lineage: Eukaryota; Fungi; Basidiomycota; Agaricomycetes; Agaricales; Bolbitiaceae.
CCUAUAUAAACAUUAUACAACUUUCAGCAACGGAUCUCUUGGCUCUCGCAUCGAUGAAGAACGCAGCGAAAUGCGAUAAGUAAUGUGAAUUGCAGAAUUCAGUGAAUCAUCGAAUCUUUGAACGCACCUUGCGCUCCUUGGUAUUCCGAGGAGCAUGCCUGUUUGAGUGUCAUUAAAUCAUCAA